GACGAACGCUGGCGGCGUGCUUAACACAUGCAAGUCGAACGGAAAGGCCCUGCUUUUGUGGGGUGCUCGAGUGGCGAACGGGUGAGUAACACGUGAGUAACCUGCCCUUGACUUUGGGAUAACUUCAGGAAACUGGGGCUAAUAACGGAUAGGAGCUCCUGCUGCAUGGGGGGGGUUGGAAAGUUUCGGCGGUUGGGGAUGGACUCGCGGCUUAUCAGCUUGUUGGUGGGGUAGUGGCUUACCAAGGCUUUGACGGGUAGCCGGCCUGAGAGGGUGACCGGCCACAUUGGGACUGAGAUACGGCCCAGACUCCUACGGGAGGCAGCAGUGGGGAAUAUUGCACAAUGGGCGGAAGCCUGAUGCAGCAACGCCGCGUGCGGGAUGACGGCCUUCGGGUUGUAAACCGCUUUCGCCUGUGACGAAGCGUGAGUGACGGUAAUGGGUAAAGAAGCACCGGCUAACUACGUG
Molecule: ribosomal RNA, 468 nt
Filed under: uncultured bacterium
Lineage: Bacteria
Description: partial 16S ribosomal RNA
Rfam family: Bacterial small subunit ribosomal RNA
Source: RNAcentral